RNAcentral lists this long non-coding RNA (3301 nucleotides) under Chinchilla lanigera (long-tailed chinchilla). RNAcentral describes it as "lncRNA (ENSCLAG00000022424.1)". The record is from RNAcentral. Lineage: Eukaryota; Metazoa; Chordata; Mammalia; Rodentia; Chinchillidae.
GGGGCUGUGCCCGCCGCGUCGGCCUUGCAGGUGGCCUGGGCGUCCUCCGCCGCCGCGCCCAGCCUCCGCCACGGCCCGAGCUUGCGCGUGCAGCUGGCUGCAGCCACAGGCUGUGUGCCCUCGGGCCCGUUGCUAAACCUCUCUGUGCCCACUACACCCCGACCCCUGAAGCAGCGGCACUGGGUGGGCAGGGGCAGAGUUCUCCGUGAACGUCCUGCAGCCCCUCCCCUCCCACUCCCCGCCGCGCGCCUGUUUGGCCGGAGCCCGCGGACGCGCUCCCGCGCGGGGUGCCUCGCAGCCUGGGCCGCGAAGGAGGCGCGGGAGGGGGCGCCGCUGGCAGCUGCAGCCCCUGGGGUCCGAGCCCCCGACCCUGACCUCGGACGGUCGCAGUCGCGAAGGGGCGCGGCUCCCGGCACCGCUUCGGAGCAGCCCCGGGUCCCGCGAGGCCGCGCCGGAGGGGCGGGGCUUGGGUUUCGGUUUCUUGCAAAAGCGGAGGCCACAGGGAAAUCGAGGAGUUUCCGGGAACCGCGCCGCGGCGCUGAGAUGGUCUCAGCAGUGGGACCGUUUCGCAGACGUGCUGCAGUGGGAGACGAUGAAGGAUUCGGCGGCCUCCCUGAGCAGCACUGGGUUUGUUUCUGCCUGUUUUUGUCCCUGCGGAGGAGACCUCUGCACCCCUUUCCAUCACCACAGUCAGCUGUGUGGCCCCUUAAAGUUCUGCUGUGACCGGGAACUGAGUGGCAGAGCAAGGGGCAGGGUGAUUAAGUGCCAGGCAGGUGGUCCUUCUCCUCUCCAGAAGGCCGGCUUCAGUUUAGGUGGGACCUCGGCCAGGCGUACGAUGUUCCAGUCCUUUCUUGACCUGUCAGCCCUCAGAAGAUGUCUGUCCACGGAGUGCUUCACCUGCAGGAGUGAAAGGUCAUCACAGACCUUCUUGCCUGGAUGACCCUGGAGAAAGCAUAAUUGCCCUCUGUCCAGGUGACAGGUGAUAAACUAGUGUCACACAGGGGAUAAGCCACACGCAGUGAGCACGUCACCAUAUCUGAUAGCCAGCACCUGAGAGUGCUGCACUGAGAGUGUUUCAGAGGACCACUGGGGCCCUGACCUGGGCUUCCGAAGCUCUCUGUGACUGUCUCAGAAGCAGGUGGCACGCCAGGUUGGCACUAGGUAGAGGUGGUCUUCUCCCAGCCCUCAGAGUGCCACUCACUCUCAGGAACUGAUGCUUCACUGGCGGUGUAUGCCGGGGUCUCCUGUGGCCUUGCCCUCUUUUUCAGACUGUCAGAAAAUGGUGCUUCCCCAAAAGAGAGGACCUAAUUCCUGUGCCUCCUUUAGAUCAGUCAGGGAGACUUUUGGUCCCUGGCUAGGCAGGAUCAACGCUCCUCCUCAGCCUGAAAGAGUUACUGAAGAUGGAACAUCAGCUUUCUGCAACCCUCUGACUCUAACCCCUUAAGAAUAAAGGACCGGGGGGUGGGGGGGGUGGUGAUGUAGCUCAGCGGCAUAAACACUUGCCUGGCAAGCCUGAGGUCAUGAGUUCAAUUCCCGAUACCAAAAAAAAAAAAAAAAAAAAGGGACCAAAGUCUGGGGAGGGGGGUUAGGUAGGACAGAGAAAUAAAACUAGGUAGAAAGGAGACCAGGAAAUCCAGAAUUUACAAUUUUACUUUCUUCGCAGGGCAUGGUACCACACACAUGUAAUCCCAGCACUUGGGAGGCCGAGGCAGGAGGAUCGUUGUGAGUUCGAGACCAGCCUGAGCUACAAAGUGAGCUCAAGUCCAGAGUAAACUGCAUAGUGAGACCCUGUCUCAAAAAAAUUUUUUUUUACUUUUUUUUUUUGGGGGGGGGUACUGGGAAUCAAAUUGCACAGCUGAGCUAUAUCCCUGGCCCAAAAAUUAUACUUUUAAAGAGAAAUUGCAGCUUCAGAAGACAAGCCCUGUUUAUUUACUUUUUUUCUUCUCUCAAAACAGCAAACCACACUUGGGAGGCUGAGGCAGAAGGAUUGCUGGGUUCAAGGCCAGCCUGAAUUGCAUAGUGAGACCCUGUCUCAAAAAAAAAAAAAAAAAAAAAAAGCCAGCAAACUUGGGCAGCUCCCUUUCAGCUGCAAAUGGGUUUGCGCAUUCCCUUUUCACCUGCAAAUUGCCCUUCCGUGCAGCCCAGGAAGCAGCUGCGGUGGAGACAGCUGGUCUACCGCAGGCAUCUCUGCCUCACACCUCUGUGGGUAGCCUGCAGGGUAACCUGGCAGACAGAACACACGUCUGAGAUCACCUGUAGUGGACUGACAACUGGUGGUCAACUUAUAACAUCCAGCUGAACUUAACCAGCGUGGUGCUGGGAGUGGGAGGCCCACCUGAGGGUUGUUGCCAGCAGCAAAAGAGGCAGAACUGGAGGAGAAGAAAAAAGGCUGUUGGGAACUGAGAAAGGCUGUUGGGAGCUGGUAGAAGCUGUUGGGAAGCUGUUGGAAGCUGAGAGAAGCUGUAAGGAGCUGGUGGUUCUCUUGGAGGAGCUUGUCGUGCUGGCUCUCCUGAUGAACUCAGCUGUUUUCAUCCUCCAAAGGGGUUAAGGACCUUGUUGGCACUGAGAAUGGCUUCAGUUCACUUUGGGGGAGCUCUGGUCCUCACUCUGAGCAUCACUUCCUGGCUCCGGAGGGGAAGAUGGUGCACUGCUCAGUCUCCUGGAGAAGCUUGCUGCGUUGACUUUCCUGAUGGGAACUCUGCUUUCCUCAUCAUCGGAAGAACUCGAGACCUCACUGUUGCUGGUCGUGGCUGUGGUACUUUUCAGGGGAGCUCUGGUUCUUACUUUGAGUGUCACCUUCUGGCUCCAGUGCCGAUCGCUCAGCCUGCUAGCACAGAUCCUUCAUCCCGCUGGCACAGACUUUCUAGCUUCCACCACUGACCUCUGGGCCUUUCACAGCGCAGAUCUGUGAAACAGGCCUGCAUGAGGCAUUGUUGUGGGCUCUGGGCCUCCAGCUGGACUUAUGGGAGGCAUUGUUAUGGACUCUAGGUCUUCAGCUAGACUUAUGCAGGACAUUAUUGUGGGAUCCAGGCCCUCAGCCGGAUUCUUUGGUCUUUAGUGUGUGGACAGAUUUCCUGCGCUCUCUUGUAUAUGCUUCUUUGGGUGACUAUUAUAAAUCAUCUUAUAAAAUAUGUGUCCAUAUUGUUCACCAUGCAAUAAGCCCCAAACCACAAUGUCACCCAUAUUUGCCUUUAAAUGUCCCCUGGCCUGGCUUGUACCACGUGCAUCAAUCCGUGGAGCACCCACACCCCCUCUUGACUGCGUCCUGUGUGUCCUAAUAAAUCCUUCUCGUGCCUUUUGU